GCGAGCGUGGCGAAAUUGGUAGACGCACUGGAUUUAGGUUCCAGCGCCGAAAGGCAUGGGAGUUCGAUUCUCCCCGCUCGCACCA
Molecule: transfer RNA, 85 nt
Filed under: Formivibrio sp.
Lineage: Bacteria; Pseudomonadati; Pseudomonadota; Betaproteobacteria; Neisseriales; Chitinibacteraceae
Also listed under: 1 other name
Description: tRNA-Leu
Rfam family: tRNA
About the family: Transfer RNA (tRNA) molecules are approximately 80 nucleotides in length. Their secondary structure includes four short double-helical elements and three loops (D, anti-codon, and T loops).
Source: RNAcentral